Molecule: ribosomal RNA, 430 nt
Filed under: Bacteroidota bacterium
Lineage: Bacteria; Pseudomonadati; Bacteroidota
Description: Bacteroidetes bacterium partial 16S ribosomal RNA
Rfam family: Bacterial small subunit ribosomal RNA
Source: RNAcentral
UAGGGAAUCUUCGGCAAUGGGGGGAACCCUGACCGAGCAACGCCGCGUGAGUGAAGAAGGUUUUCGGAUCGUAAAGCUCUGUUGUUAAGGAAGAACGAGUGUGAGAAUGGAAAGUUCAUGCUGUGACGGUACUUAACCAGAAAGGGACGGCUAACUACGUGCCAGCAGCCGCGGUAAUACGUAGGUCCCGAGCGUUGUCCGGAUUUAUUGGGCGUAAAGCGAGGGUAGGCGGUUAGAAAAGUCUGAAGUGAAAGCCCCCGGCUCAACCGGGGAGGGUCAUUGGAAACUGGUUGACUUGAGUGCAGAAGAGGAGAGUGGAAUUCCAUGUGUAGCGGUGAAAUGCGUAGAUAUAUGGAGGAACACCAGUGGCGAAGGCGACUCUCUGGUCUGUAACUGACGCUGAGGUUCGAAAGCGUGGGUAGCAAACAGG